AUCUUGGACAAUGGGCGCAAGCCUGAUCCAGCCAUGCCGCGUGGAUGAUGAAGGCCCUAGGGUUGUAAAAUCCUUUCGUCAGGGACGAUAAUGACGGUACCUGAAGAAGAAGCCCCGGCUAACUUCGUGCCAGCAGCCGCGGUAAAACGUAGGACGCGAGCGUUAUCCGGAUUUACUGGGCGUAAAGCGCGGGCAGGCGGUGGUCCAAGUCGGACGUGAAAGCUCCCGGCUCAACUGGGAGAGGUCGUUCGAAACUGGGCCGCUAGAGGGCAGUAGAGGGGCGUGGAAUUCCGGGUGGAGUGGUGAAAUGCGUAGAGAUCCGGAGGAACACCAGAGGCGAAGGCGGCGCCCUGGGCUGCACCUGACGCUGAGCCGCGAAAGCUAGGGGAGCG
This 392-nucleotide ribosomal RNA is filed under the name uncultured bacterium. RNAcentral describes it as "bacterial SSU rRNA". It matches the Rfam family "Bacterial small subunit ribosomal RNA", at positions 361 to 770 of the family's 1533-position model. The record is from RNAcentral.